RNAcentral lists this long non-coding RNA (771 nucleotides) under Equus caballus (horse). Its description in RNAcentral is "lncRNA (ENSECAG00000043195.2)". Lineage: Eukaryota; Metazoa; Chordata; Mammalia; Perissodactyla; Equidae. The record is from RNAcentral.
GUGUAGGCAUGGAUAUUCCGGAAUGUUCCUCCCAUGUGAAUUCUCUUGCCCAUAGUUUAAGGGAUAAUUGAACACCAUGCACUCUCUCCCUCAAUUUUCCUCAUUUUCUCCAAAUCUCACCCUAUUCUGAGAACUUGACAGGUUGGAUGACUGCAAAGUGGUGGAUCUGUAACAAGUUCAGUGUACGGAGUAACAGAAUAAUGCUCAAUGGAAGGAGGUCUCCAGGGAAUUGCCACAAAGCUUCCCAUACAGUCUAUAGUCUUGGAAGAAAAUGGUCUGCUUGUUUCACUCAUUCAAGAUAGAAAGCUCUCAUGGAUAAUAAAUGUGUGGGUCGGAUUCAAAACCAAAUAAAAAUCUCGGCAGUCUGAAAUAUUGGUCUAAUCCCCCAACAAUGAAACUUAAUCAGUUUCAUAUCAAGUCCUGCAUUUGAAUUCUGCACCAGAAUAGCACUAUUGAACAGCAGUUUAUAAUUAAGGAAUUUUAGGAUUUAGAAACUCUAAAAUUCCAAAAGAAUCUUCAGUGUAAUUCACUGACCAAAAACCCAAGUAUGUGUGUUUUGGCUACAGAAAAAGAGUUUCAAGAAGAAAGGGAGGUGUUACUCCUGCCGUAGCUGUUCUGUCCAGCACUGCGGUAGGAUGGGCAGGCACACUUUUAGAGGGACAUCAGCAAACAUCUAAGUUCAGGUGUGGGCAACCCAAAUCCUGCGCUAAAGGUGUGACAUGGCAAAAUCAUUGUUUAUUGGGAAAGGCUAGAGUAACUGGUGAUGUUAAC